GUCCCUGUGGCUCAGUUGGUAGAGCAUGGUGUGUGCAAUGCCAGGGUUGUGGGUUCAAUUCCCACGGGGGGCC
This 73-nucleotide transfer RNA is filed under the name Salmo salar (Atlantic salmon). It matches the Rfam family "tRNA". Rfam says of the family: Transfer RNA (tRNA) molecules are approximately 80 nucleotides in length. Their secondary structure includes four short double-helical elements and three loops (D, anti-codon, and T loops). Further hydrogen bonds mediate the characteristic L-shaped molecular structure. tRNAs have two regions of fundamental functional importance: the anti-codon, which is responsible for specific mRNA codon recognition, and the 3' end, to which the tRNAs corresponding amino acid is attached (by aminoacyl-tRNA synthetases). tRNAs cope with the degeneracy of the genetic code in two manners: having more than one tRNA (with a specific anti-codon) for a particular amino acid; and 'wobble' base-pairing, i.e. permitting non-standard base-pairing at the 3rd anti-codon position. The record is from Rfam by way of RNAcentral. Lineage: Eukaryota; Metazoa; Chordata; Actinopteri; Salmoniformes; Salmonidae.